This 253-nucleotide ribosomal RNA is filed under the name uncultured bacterium. RNAcentral describes it as "partial 16S ribosomal RNA". It matches the Rfam family "Bacterial small subunit ribosomal RNA", at positions 524 to 776 of the family's 1533-position model. The record is from RNAcentral.
UACGUAGGGGGCUAGCGUUGUCCGGAAUCAUUGGGCGUAAAGAGCUCGUAGGCGGUCUGUCGCGUCGGCUGUGAAAACCCGAGGCUCAACCUCGGGCCUGCAGUCGAUACGGGCAGACUAGAGGGCGGUAGGGGAGAGUGGAACUCCUGGUGUAGCGGUGAAAUGCGUAGAUAUCAGGAGGAACACCGGCGGUGUAGACGGCUUUCUGGACCGUAGCUGACGCUGAGACACGAAAGCGUGGGUAGCAAACAGG